AUUCAAUUGAUGAGUCUCAAAUAAGACGAAACAUGUGUGUCUUAGAU
RNAcentral lists this non-coding RNA (47 nucleotides) under Schistosoma margrebowiei. The record is from RNAcentral. Lineage: Eukaryota; Metazoa; Platyhelminthes; Trematoda; Strigeidida; Schistosomatidae.